Parus major (Great Tit) is the source of this 241-nucleotide long non-coding RNA. RefSeq lists it as uncharacterized. The record is from RefSeq and is a predicted model, not a curated record. Lineage: Eukaryota; Metazoa; Chordata; Aves; Passeriformes; Paridae. The transcript is spliced from 3 exons.
AAAAAAAAUCACAGGAAUUAAGAGUGCAAAUGGUUUUGCCCUGCUCAAGAAAGGAGCCACUUUUUACUCAAAGGAAUGUGGUUUGGCCACAUCUCUUCAAGGAAUCAUAGCAUCUCUGUGGUUUCUAUGAACACUAAUGUUUUCAGGGUAUCUGCUGUGAAAAUCGUGCAUCCAUGAGUACUGAAGCUCUCUGGCAAUCCCUGGAGCUUUUACAGAGCCAUGGAAAUGAGCCUGAGAUGGG